RNAcentral lists this ribosomal RNA (440 nucleotides) under uncultured bacterium. Its description in RNAcentral is "partial 16S ribosomal RNA". It matches the Rfam family "Bacterial small subunit ribosomal RNA", at positions 338 to 795 of the family's 1533-position model. The record is from RNAcentral.
CCUACGGGUGGCAGCAGUGGGGAAUAUUGCACAAUGGGGGAAACCCUGAUGCAGCGACGCCGCGUGAAGGAAGAAGUAUUUCGGCAUGUAAACUUCUAUCAGCAGGGAAGAAAAUGACGGUACCUGACUAAGAAGCCCCGGCCAACUACGUGCCAGCAGCCGCGGGAAUACGUAGGGGGAAAGCGUUUACCGGUUUUCCUGGGGGUAAAGGGGGCGUUGGGGGCGAUGCAAGUCAGAAGUGAAAGCCCGGGGCCCAACCCCGGGACUGCUUUUGAAACUUUGUUGCUAGAUUGCAGGAGAGGUAAGUGGAAUUCCUAGUGUAGCGGUGAAAUGCGUAGAUAUUAGGAGGAACACCAGUGGCGAAGGCGGCUUACUGGACUGUAAAUGACGCUGAGGCUCGAAAGCGUGGGGAGCAAACAGGAUUAGAUACCCUGGUAGUC